RNAcentral lists this microRNA (25 nucleotides) under Danio rerio (zebrafish). Its description in RNAcentral is "Dre-Mir-338-P2b_5p* (star (passenger))". The record is from RNAcentral. Lineage: Eukaryota; Metazoa; Chordata; Actinopteri; Cypriniformes; Danionidae.
AACAAUCUCCUGAUGCUGCCUGAGU